RNAcentral lists this transfer RNA (72 nucleotides) under Urocitellus parryii (Arctic ground squirrel). RNAcentral's name for it is "Spermophilus parryii (Arctic ground squirrel) tRNA". It matches the Rfam family "tRNA". Rfam says of the family: Transfer RNA (tRNA) molecules are approximately 80 nucleotides in length. The record is from Rfam by way of RNAcentral. Lineage: Eukaryota; Metazoa; Chordata; Mammalia; Rodentia; Sciuridae. RNAcentral also lists the same sequence under 2 other names.
GGGGAUGUGACUCAGUGGUAGAGUGUUUGCCUGGCAUGCACAAGACCCAGAGUUCAAUCCUUAGCACACACA